ACGGGUGAGUAAUACAUCGGAACGUGCCCGAUCGUGGGGGAUAACGCAGCGAAAGCUGUGCUAAUACCGCAUACGAUCUACGGAUGAAAGCGGGGGAUCGCAAGACCUCGCGCGGACGGAGCGGCCGAUGGCAGAUUAGGUAGUUGGUGAGGUAAAGGCUCACCAAGCCGUCGAUCUGUAGCUGGUCUGAGAGGACGACCAGCCACACUGGGACUGAGACACGGCCCAGACUCCUACGGGAGGCAGCAGUGGGGAAUUUUGGACAAUGGGCGCAAGCCUGAUCCAGCCAUGCCGCGUGCAGGAUGAAGGCCUUCGGGUUGUAAACUGCUUUUGUACGGAACGAAACGGUCUUUUCUAAUAAAGAAGGCUAAUGACGGUACCGUAGGAAUAAGCACCGGCUAACUACGUGCCAGCAGCCGCGGUAAUACGUAGGGUGCAAGCGUUAAUCGGAAUUACUGGGCGUAAAGCGUGCGCAGGCGGUGAUGUAAGACAGAUGUGAAAUCCCCGGGCUCAACCUGGGAACUGCAUUUGUGACUGCAUCGCUGGAGUGCGGCAGAGGGGGAUGGAAUUCCGCGUGUAGCAGUGAAAUG
This 590-nucleotide ribosomal RNA is filed under the name uncultured bacterium. RNAcentral describes it as "bacterial SSU rRNA". It matches the Rfam family "Bacterial small subunit ribosomal RNA", at positions 102 to 688 of the family's 1533-position model. The record is from RNAcentral.